This 254-nucleotide ribosomal RNA is filed under the name uncultured bacterium. RNAcentral describes it as "partial 16S ribosomal RNA". It matches the Rfam family "Bacterial small subunit ribosomal RNA", at positions 524 to 776 of the family's 1533-position model. The record is from RNAcentral.
UACGAGAGGUGCAAGCGUUAUUCGGAAUCAUUGGGCGUAAAGGGUGCGAAGGCGGCAAAAUAAGUCUGUUGUUAAAUAUUUUGGCUUAACCAAAAAAGUGCAAUGGAAACUGUUUUGCUAGAGGGUGAGAGAGAGAAGUGGAAUUCCAGGAGUUAGCGGUCAAAUGCGUAGAUCUCUGGAGGAACACCGAUGGCGAAGGCAGCUUCUUGGCUCAUUCCUGACGCUAAUGCACGAAAGCGUGGGGAGCAAACAGG